Molecule: long non-coding RNA, 3773 nt
Organism: Cervus elaphus (red deer)
Lineage: Eukaryota; Metazoa; Chordata; Mammalia; Artiodactyla; Cervidae
Exons: 2
Source: RefSeq, a predicted model, not a curated record
CUGGGACUUCCCUGGUGACCCAGAGAUGAAUCCACCUUCCAAUGCCCGGGAUGUGGGUUCAAUCCCUGGUCAGGGAACUAAGAUCCCACGUGCUUCGAGGCAACUAAGGCCACACACCUUAACUACUAAGCCCACAUGCUACAACGAAGAUCCCUCCCGCUUUCAACUAAGAACCGACGCGGCCAAAAAUAAAUAAAUUGGUUUUUUUUUUUUUUUUUUUUUAGUAAAAAGGGGGCUUCCCUGGUGGCUCAGUGGUAAAGAAUCCAUGCCAAAGCAGGAGACGCAGGUUCCCUCCCUGAUCUGGGAAGAUCCCACAUGCCACGGAGCAACAAAGCCCGUGCAGCCCAACUAUUGAGCCUGUGCUCUGGCUCUAGAAGCCUGGAAGCCGCAAGUACCGAGUCCACAGGCCUCAACUACUGAAGCCCAAAUGCCCUAGGCUAUGGCCAUGUGCAGCAAGAAAGAGGCAAUUCCCCAGCAGCUUAUCCGGAAAGAUGGAAACGCUGGACAGAACACAGACCGCCAAUGACCUGUCUUCCCAUCACACUCUUCUCUAAGGGCAAGAUCUAAUCAGACCUGAGGAAUGGCUGAUGGAUGAGAUUUUUUCCACAAAGCCUUGCCCCAGAGGCAGAGCUUCACCACGGGCGGGGCUUGUACCAGCCGCAAACCUGGAGGCUUUCUCCUGUACCUCCCCGGCCGCCUUCGCCUCCCCCUCCUCCCGGUUUUCUGUCUGCCAGUCCCUCGCCACACCCCGCCCACACCAGAUCACCAGGUCACAGUUCCAGCUCCAGAUGAUAAAAUGCCAGGGCUGCAGGGGCCUGGGGCCAGGCUCCUCGAGUGGCUGUCACGACACAUUGUAUCCUCCGAGGAUGUGUCCCCUUUCUACACUGUGACCUUGACAUUUCUCCCAGUGGAGGUGGAAUCUUGCGUCUCUCACCAGACACGUGAAGUGACACCUCAACUUCCAGAGCGAGGUCAGAAAGAGAAGACGCGGUGUCGCCCCUUCCGUGGUGGGGUCUGAACUCAGCGCUGCCUGUCCCUAGCCAGGCCGCCCGUGCCGGGGGGCCGCUGAUGGAAUGACCCCGGAGGGAAGCAGGAGAGAUCUGAGGAGCCAGCCGACCUUGACCUGGGUUCAAGCCCGAUUCUGCCAUUCACUUGGUAUGUGACGUUUACAAGCCGUUUCCCCUCUCCGAGCCUCAGUUUACCUGGCUGUAAAGUGGAGCUCCUUGCCUGAGAUCAAGCAGGAGGGCUGUGCUUACAGUCACCGUGCAGAUGGUCCUGAGACGCACACGGUUCUGAACGCUCGCAGGCACUCAGGUAGCCAAGGGGCCACAGAAGCCCUGUGCUCCGGGUGACCUCCGCCUCACUCCCUCUAGGAGCAGCUGGGUUCUGGGCAGGUGCCCAGGAGAGGAUGGGUUCCCAGCUGGCACUGCCUGGACUGUGGUCAGCCCUGUCCCCAGGUCGCUGCCCCGGCACUUGCCCAGGACACGACUGAAGCCAACCCUGUUGCUGGCCGGGGCCACAAGCUGGGUGGCUGCUGCUGCUGUUACUCAGUCGUGUCCGACUCCUCGCGACCCCGCGGGCUGCAGCACGCCAGGCUUCCCGGUCCUACACCGUCUCCCGGAGGAGACUCACGUCCCUUGAGUCAAUGAUGCUGUCCAGUCGUCACCCUCUGUCACCCAGACAGCAGAAAUGGACUCGCUCACGGCUCAGGCCAGAAGUUCAAAAUCAAGGUGUCAGCAGAGCUGGUUCUGUCUCUGGGGCCGCGACGGAGAAUCUGCUCUGGGCCUCACUUCCAGCUUCUGGUGGCGGCCGACAUUCUUGGCAUUUCUUGGCUUAAAGCUGCUUUACUCUGAUCUCUGCCCCCGUCAUCACCAGGCCGUCCACCCUCUGUCUGUGUGGCCUCCCCUGGCGUCCCCUCUCUGCGUGGUUCUGUCCCAGGCUUUCUCCUGCUUGUUUGUUUAUUUUGGCCGCGCUGGGUCCUCCUUGCUGUGCACGGGCUUUCUCUAGUUGCAGCGAGUGGGGGCGCCUCUCUGGCUGCUGCUCGGACUUCUCAUUGAGGAGGCUUCUCUUAUUCCGGACCACAGGCUCUGGGUGCACGGGCUUCAGGAGCUGCAGCUCGUGGGGCUCUGGAGCACAGCCUCAGGAGCUGGGGCGCACGGCCUUCGUUGCCCCAAGACAUGUGGAAUCUUCCCGAACCAGUGAUCGACCCCAUGUCCCCGGCACUGACAGACGCAUGCUUAACCACUGAACUGCCAGGGAAUCCUUGCCUCCUCUUUUUUUUAUCAUUUUAUUUUAUUUAUAUAUUUUUGGCUGGGUCUCUGCUGCCGCACACAGGCUUUCUCCAGCUGUGGUGGGUGGGGACCGCUCUUCGCUGCCAUCACAGGCUUCUCAUCACGGAGCUGGCUUCUCUCGGCUCGGCUCACAGGUGCGGUAGUUGUGGAGCACGGGCUUAGUCGCUCUGCGGCAUGUGGGAUCUUCCCAGAGCAGGGGUCGAAGCCGUGUCCCCUGCAGGAGGCUUCUUAAUCACUGGGCCACCAGGGAAGUCCUCGUCUCCUCUUCUCACAAGGCCAUCAGUCGUGCUGGAUUAAAGGCCCAUCCUACUCCAGUGUGACCCCCCUCUUAACUGAUGACAUCAGCAAUGACCCUCUGUCUAAAUAAGACCGCAUACUGAGGUUCCAGGGCACAGGACUUGAACGCAUCUUUGUGGGACACAGAAUCCCACCCACAACGCCGACCUUGGGCCCUUGACCCCCGCCUUAUCCCAGAGCCAGGACACAAUUGGAAGUCCCUCCUGCAGAAGGACUGGGGUCCUCCAGCUGGCCACGAGGCAGGAGAGGAGACUGAGGUCUCGAAGUGUAGGGGCAGCGCACACAUUCCCCUCCUAAAGGGAGGGUCUGCAAUCAGAAGCUGCCGUGACUUGGGGGGCUUCCCUUGGUCAGGGCAGGCAGAAGGGACAGGAAGUUGCCCACCCAGCAACCCUCGACUAGAGGGCAUCCACGCCCCCUGCUGGGUUCUACACCGUCUCCAGAGUCCCCAGCAAGCUGAGCCCGGGUGGGGGGAGGGAGAGGGAAGGACUGGGAGUUUGGGGCUGGUUGGUGGAUGCAAACAGUCUCAUUUAGAAUGGAUAAACAAGGUCCUCCUGGACAGCACAGGGAACUACAUCCAAUCUCCAGAGAGAAACCAUAAUGGAAGAGACUAUUAGAAAAAAGAAUGAGGACGUCCUUGGUGGUCUUGCUUCUUAUGUGGCCACAGAUAACAGUGGCUAAGAUGCUGCCAAUGCAGGGGGCCCAGGUUCGAUCGAUCCCUGAUCAGGCAGUUGGAAUCCCGCAUGCUGCAACUAAGAUCCGGCACCACCAAAUAAGUAAAAAUAAAUAUUAAAGACUCAAGAAAUAAAUUACCACUCUUGAAAAAAGAAUGUAUAUAUGUGUGUAACUGAGUCACGUAACUGUACAACAACAUUGUAAAUCAACUAUACUCCAAUUUUUUAAAAAUGAUAAAGGACUUCCUGGUGGUGCAGUGGUUAAAAAUUCGCCUGCUGAUGUGGAGGACCCGGGUUCAAUCCCUGGUCCAGGAAGAUUCCACGAGCCUUGGAGCAGCUAAGCCCAUGUGCCACAACUACUGAGCCUGCGUUCCGCAACCGGAAACACCCCUGCAGUGAGAAGCCUUCAAGUCGCCACUAAAGACUGUGUGCGGCAGCAAAGACGCAGCGCAACCAAAAAAAUAAAAAUAAUAAAUAAGUAAUUUUUAAUUAUUAAAAACCCAAUUGCACACCU